UGAGUAACACGUAUCCAACCUGCCGUCUACUCUUGGCCAGCCUUCUGAAAGGAAGAUUAAUCCAGGAUGGCAUCAUGAGUUCACAUGUCCGCAUGAUUAAAGGUAUUUUCCGGUAGACGAUGGGGAUGCGUUCCAUUAGAUAGUAGGCGGGGUAACGGCUCACCUAGUCAACGAUGGAUAGGGGUUCUGAGAGGAAGGUCCCCCACAUUGGAACUGAGACACGGUCCAA
RNAcentral lists this ribosomal RNA (229 nucleotides) under uncultured bacterium. RNAcentral's name for it is "partial 16S ribosomal RNA". It matches the Rfam family "Bacterial small subunit ribosomal RNA", at positions 107 to 334 of the family's 1533-position model. The record is from RNAcentral.